AUUUGGUGACAGUAACGGGUAGGAGACUCAGAUGAAGUCAUGUGGAUGUGCUUGACAUGAAUGACAAGGAACCCUCAGGUUGAAGAGGAGACUUAGAAGGAUGGUGUUGGUAAAGUUUUCUUCAACAAUGUGGAGUAGAACAUUAACAACCUUACAGGAGUUGGUGGGAGCAACUGGAAAAUGCAAUGCUGAUGGAUGAUGUGGAAAUAAGAGGCCGCAGCCAGACGAAUGAAUGAGAAAAAAACUAGAAGAAGCAAGACUGAUUAAUGUACUUCAAGAUGCAGAAUAAAGUAUUGCAUUCGAACUGGAAUUGGUGGAAACAACUGGAAAAUAUGUGGAAAUGAGCAGCUAUAGCCAGACAGGAAUUGGUGGAAAACCUAGAAAAUGCAAGACUGAUCGAUGUUGACCCUUCAAGAUGUUAAAAUGAGCAGCUACAGCUAGACAGGAAUUGGUGGAAAUACUUAGAAAAGUCAAGACUGAUGGAUGAUGACCUUCUCAACAGCAGGACUUACCACAGUGGAUAACUGUCACUGAUCAGUGUGCUUUGAUGAUUUAGUGACAGUACCCAGUAAGAGACUCAGAUAAAAUCAUGUGGAUGUGCUUGACAUUAUGAAUGACAAGGAGCCUCAGAAAGUAAAAGUAUUGAAGAGGCAUAUCCUUGUGAUCAUGUUUGGAAAAAGAAAGAUGACAAUGCAGAAAGCCAGAUCUGUGAAGCA
Saccostrea echinata is the source of this 716-nucleotide long non-coding RNA. RefSeq lists it as uncharacterized. The transcript is spliced from 4 exons. NCBI's taxonomy places the organism in Eukaryota, Metazoa, Mollusca, Bivalvia, Ostreida, Ostreidae. The record is from RefSeq and is a predicted model, not a curated record.